RNAcentral lists this ribosomal RNA (378 nucleotides) under uncultured Denitratisoma sp. RNAcentral's name for it is "bacterial SSU rRNA". It matches the Rfam family "Bacterial small subunit ribosomal RNA", at positions 354 to 724 of the family's 1533-position model. The record is from RNAcentral. Lineage: Bacteria; Pseudomonadati; Pseudomonadota; Betaproteobacteria; Nitrosomonadales; Sterolibacteriaceae.
GUGGGGAAUUUUGGACAAUGGGCGCAAGCCUGAUCCAGCCAUUCCGCGUGAGUGAAGAAGGCCUUCGGGUUGUAAAGCUCUUUCGGCCGGGAAGAAAUCGCACGGGUUAAUACCCUGUGUGGAUGACGGUACUGGAAGAAGAAGCACCGGCUAACUACGUGCCAGCAGCCGCGGUAAUACGUAGGGUGCGAGCGUUAAUCGGAAUUACUGGGCGUAAAGGGUGCGCAGGCGGCGCCAUAAGACAGAUGUGAAAUCCCCGGGCUCAACCUGGGAACUGCGUUUGUGACUGUGGUGCUUGAGUGCGGCAGAGGGGGGUGGAAUUCCACGUGUAGCAGUGAAAUGCGUAGAGAUGUGGAGGAACACCGAUGGCGAAGGCAG